UUAGAAGCUUCAAGCUUCAAGCUUUUAAGAAAAAGCUCCAAGCCUAAUAAAAGCAUUGUUUGGUUGAAACAGGCUUAAAGCUUUUAGAUUAGUUGAAAAGCUUUUUUUUUAAACGCUGGUUGCAGCAGCGUUUAAAGAACCUACAAGCUUUUAGGGUUUAAAUUCCAUAAAUAACCUAAAAUCCUAAAAAUCCAGACCGUGCUCCUCCCUAGUUCUCCGACGACUGGCCAGAUCACCAGUGGACCAGGACUCUUCUCUGAUAUCGGCAAGAAAGCCAAAGAUCUGCUAACGAGAGACUACAUAUCGGAGCCGAAGUUUUCUGUUUCAACCAGCAGUGUUUCCGGAGUUAACACAUGAACAUGGAGUAAACAACUUUAUGUGACAAGUGGAAUGUAAAGAGAAAGUUGUGGAGCAAGCAAAAGAAGCAGCAACACAAACUAGCUUAGAUAUUCUAUUGAAGUUGGAUGAAUGUAAAAAUGCAGCGCACCAUGAGAGGAAACAACAGACAAUUUUUGUGAAUUGUGUCAUCUUCACUCGACUAUAAACUGUAUUUUGCAUAUAAUAGAAUGUAUUUUUGUUUCUUUUGUUUUUUUAAA
This is a long non-coding RNA of Helianthus annuus (common sunflower), 596 nucleotides long. RefSeq lists it as uncharacterized. Lineage: Eukaryota; Viridiplantae; Streptophyta; Magnoliopsida; Asterales; Asteraceae. The transcript has 2 exons. The record is from RefSeq and is a predicted model, not a curated record.